GAAGCAACGAAAAAGCAGAUCAUUCUCUCCUAUAAAGAAAAGGAGAAGGGACUCACCCAGUCAUCUGGAAGCUCGACGCAUCACAAGUGCCAGGAAGCGACCCAUUCCUUACUUCCGACCUAGUCCCUGCACUAGCAGUCGGUCCACCAGUGUAUCAUCCUGGAGCAGCCUCUUCACGCGCAGCAGGAGUCGCAGAACAAUCUACAGCACAAGCCGAAGCAGGAGCAGGAGCAGGAGCAGGAGCAGGAGCAGGAGCCCCGGUUACUCCUCCUACAGGAGUUACAGUCGCAGUUCAUCGUUCUACUCCAUUUUUGGGCCCCGCAGUCAAAGCUGUGGCUUAGUGAAGAAACGCAAGAAAAUGAGAUCAUAAGACCUCCCUGUUUUUAUUGGCAGCUGAUGACAAACUGUGACGAUGUGAGGAAAUAUUUGGUGGACUCUGGAGAGUAUCUUCUUAGACCAGUAGGGCAAGCACAUAAAAACACAAAACACAAAACAUGCAUCUCCCUCCACAGCCCUGCAGGGGGCACUGUGAAUGUGAUUAAAAUACUACCGGUACUUGUUUUUUCUCUGUGCUGAAAUAAUAUGUUACAGAAUUUAAUUCAAAUACGAAGCUUUCAAGAGCAGCUGUACACCCCCGACUGUGAUCCCACAUAAUUUAACUUACCCUACGACAAUGAAAGGCAACUGUCAUAAGUGUUGCAUUGCUGCCAUCUUCAGUUUCUAUUGUUCACUUGGACACAUUUAAAGUCAUACAAUUGCUUGAACUAGAAAAUACAGGUAAAAUAAUUUAAAUAAUGUUGAUGUUAAUGUUGUCACAGGGAUUGUGCAUUAUCUCCUUUCCAACAGACAUUUAACUCAUCUUUACGCUUCAUUAGCCAUAUUUUACGGGUUUGAUGAUGAAGCUCAAAUAGACUUGGAAUCUCAGCUGACAUUUAAACUCAUCUCUGGAAGGAUAGACAUUUCGAUCAUAGACGAUCAUACGAUGUGUGGUAUUUAUUUAAUAUUUAUUGAUGUUUUUCAUUAGUGCCAUGUUUUCUAUACAACACUGUUGAAAUAUUGUUGAAAUGUAUUGUGACUUGGUUGUAGUGUGUGUUUUUCUUGAUAAUGGUUAGAUAAGGAAAUCAGUACCACAAGAAAGCCUCCUGACAUAUGAUUGAUAAUAAUAAUAAUAACUAAUUAUAUUACUACUUGACAAAUGUUUGAAGGUCAGUAAAGAGUCAAAACAAUCUCAGGCGUUUUUAUUAAGUCGUUAACAAUGAAAACAACAAAGUCAUUUCUCCACAAUUCCUCUCAUGACGUCCAAACAGUAUUUUUAUUCACAGGAUGAAUAGAGCACUGAAAAAUAAACACGUUCAGUAAUGUUACAUUAUGUUAAUCCAGGGUUUCUAAAACUAGUGCCCCCUAUUGUACAUAGGUCUGUUAUCAACUUCCCUUGACACAGAUUACAGCUAUUGCUUCAAAUCUCCAUUUUAUUUUAUUUUAAGCACAGUAAUUUAAAAGUGGAGAUUAAUUUGACUCACCCCCAUUCCAAUUGCUCCACACCCUCUGCUUUGGAAACCAAUAUGUUCAUCUUGAAUUGCUCAGCAGGAUGUGUUUUUUUUUUUAAUAAACUUUUUUUUUCAUUACUUG
Cynoglossus semilaevis (tongue sole) is the source of this 1629-nucleotide long non-coding RNA. RefSeq lists it as uncharacterized. The transcript has 3 exons. NCBI's taxonomy places the organism in Eukaryota, Metazoa, Chordata, Actinopteri, Pleuronectiformes, Cynoglossidae. The record is from RefSeq and is a predicted model, not a curated record.